This is a transfer RNA of Puccinia triticina 1-1 BBBD Race 1, 72 nucleotides long. It matches the Rfam family "tRNA". From Rfam's summary of the family: Transfer RNA (tRNA) molecules are approximately 80 nucleotides in length. Their secondary structure includes four short double-helical elements and three loops (D, anti-codon, and T loops). The record is from Rfam. NCBI's taxonomy places the organism in Eukaryota, Fungi, Basidiomycota, Pucciniomycetes, Pucciniales, Pucciniaceae.
GUGUGCUUAGCUCAAUGGUUAGAGCAUCACUCAUGAAUGCUGAGUAUGUGAGUUUGACUCUCACAGUACACA